RNAcentral lists this transfer RNA (72 nucleotides) under Dolosicoccus paucivorans. It matches the Rfam family "tRNA". Rfam says of the family: Transfer RNA (tRNA) molecules are approximately 80 nucleotides in length. Their secondary structure includes four short double-helical elements and three loops (D, anti-codon, and T loops). The record is from Rfam by way of RNAcentral. Lineage: Bacteria; Bacillati; Bacillota; Bacilli; Lactobacillales; Aerococcaceae.
CUCGCUAUAGUGUAAUGGAUAUCACGCAAGAUUCCGGUUCUUGAGAUGGGGGUUCGAUUCCCUCUAGCGAGG